RNAcentral lists this long non-coding RNA (256 nucleotides) under Coturnix japonica (Japanese quail). Its description in RNAcentral is "lncRNA (ENSCJPG00005009543.1)". Lineage: Eukaryota; Metazoa; Chordata; Aves; Galliformes; Phasianidae. The record is from RNAcentral.
AUGGGGGAGUGGCAGCAUGUGUGCUUGCAAAGAUGUGAGGCAGGUCACUAUGGAAGACAAAACAUGAGAAACAACUUCAGAAUCAGAAGUUUGCUGAAGUGGUCACACAUCAAACAACAGAACAAAGUACAUGGAAUCAACUGGAUCAAUGGGCCAAGAGAGCCACGUGUUGGACAUUAUCCAAACCGAUUACCCUGAGGACAAAAGCUUCAUCACUGAAAAAAGUUUGUAAAUAAAGAACAAGUAAAACCUGCCA